AGCAGCCGCGGUAAUUCCAGCUCCAAUAGCGUAUAUUAAAGUUGUUGCAGUUAAAAAGCUCGUAGUUGAAUUUCGGAAUCUGUCCGUUGGUCGGGCUUAAUUGUCCGUACUGAUGUGAUGGGUUCUUACCUUCUGAAUAACCAUCAUGCCAUUAAUUUGGUGUGUUGGGGAAGCAGGACUAUUACCUUGAAAAAUUAGAGUGCUCAAAGCAGGCUAGCGCCUGAAUACAUUAGCAUGGAAUAAUAAAAUAGGACGGCAUGGUUCUAUUUUGUUGGUUUCUAGGAUCACCGUAAUGAUUAAUAGGGAUAGUUGGGGGCAUUAGUAUUCAAUUGUCAGAGGUGAAAUUCUUGGAUUUAUUGAAGACUAACUUCUGCGAAAGCAUUUGCCAAGGAUGUUUUCAUUAAUCAAGAACGAAAGUUAGGGGAUCGAAGACGAUCAGAUACCGUCGUA
This 450-nucleotide ribosomal RNA is filed under the name uncultured Glomeromycotina. RNAcentral describes it as "SSU rRNA". It matches the Rfam family "Eukaryotic small subunit ribosomal RNA", at positions 569 to 1022 of the family's 1831-position model. Lineage: Eukaryota; Fungi; Glomeromycota. The record is from RNAcentral.